This 495-nucleotide ribosomal RNA is filed under the name uncultured bacterium. Its description in RNAcentral is "partial 16S ribosomal RNA". It matches the Rfam family "Bacterial small subunit ribosomal RNA", at positions 28 to 507 of the family's 1533-position model. The record is from RNAcentral.
GACGAACGCUGGCGGCGUGCCUAAUACAUGCAAGUAGAACGCUGAAGGAGGAGCUUGCUUCUCCGGAUGAGUUGCGAACGGGUGAGUAACGCGUAGGUAACCUGCCUGGUAGCGGGGGAUAACUAUUGGAAACGAUAGCUAAUACCGCAUAACAGUAGAUGUUGCAUGACAUUUGCUUAAAAGGUGCAAUUGCAUCACUACCAGAUGGACCUGCGUUGUAUUAGCUAGUUGGUGAGGUAACGGCUCACCAAGGCGACGAUACAGAGCCGACCGGAGAGGGUGGGCAGCCACACUGGGACGGAGACACGGCCCAGAAUCCUACGGGAGGCAGCAGUAGGGAAACUUCGGCAAUGGACGGAAGUCUGACCGAGCAACGCCGCGGGAGUGAAGAAGGUUUUCGGAUCGUAAAGCUCUGUUGUAAGAGAAGAACGAGUGUGAGAGUGGAAAGUUCACACUGUGACGGUAUCUGACCAGAAAGGGACGGCUAACUACGUG